RNAcentral lists this ribosomal RNA (506 nucleotides) under uncultured bacterium. RNAcentral describes it as "partial 16S ribosomal RNA". It matches the Rfam family "Bacterial small subunit ribosomal RNA", at positions 29 to 523 of the family's 1533-position model. The record is from RNAcentral.
AGUGAACGCUGGCGGUAGGCGUAACACAUGCAAGUCGAACGGCAGCACAGGAGAGCUUGCUCUCUGGGUGGCGAGUGGCGGACGGGUGAGGAAUACAUCGGAAUCUACUCUGUCGCGGGGGAUAACGUAGGGAAACUUACGCUAAUACCGCAUACGACCUACGGGUGAAAGCAGGGGAUCUUCGGACCUUGCGCGAUUGAAUGAGCCGAUGUCGGAUUAGCUCGUUGGCGGGGUAAAGGCCCACCAAGGCGACGAUCCGUAGCUGGUCUGAGAGGAUGAUCAGCCACACUGGAACUGAGACACGGUCCUGACUCCUACGGGAGGCAGCAGUGGGGAACAUUGGACAAUGGGCGCAAGCCUGAUCCAGCCAUACCGCGUGGGUGAAGAAGGCCUUCGGGUUGUAAAGCCCUUUUGUUGGGAAAGAAAUCCAGCUGGCUAAUACCCGGUUGGGAUGACGGUACCCAAAGAAUAAGCACCGGCUAACUUCGUGCCAGCCGCCGCGGUAA